This 499-nucleotide ribosomal RNA is filed under the name uncultured Glomeromycotina. RNAcentral's name for it is "partial small subunit ribosomal RNA". It matches the Rfam family "Eukaryotic small subunit ribosomal RNA", at positions 591 to 1092 of the family's 1831-position model. Lineage: Eukaryota; Fungi; Glomeromycota. The record is from RNAcentral.
CCAAUAGCGUAUAUUAAAGUUGUUGCAGUUAAAAAGCUCGUAGUUGAAUUUCGGGAUCAGUUGGUCAGUCGUGCCUCGGUACGUACUGGUCAAAUUGAUUCCUACCUUCUGACGAACCACGAUGUCAUUAAUUUGGUGUCGCGGGAAAUCAGGACUGUUACUUUGAAAAAAUUAGAGUGUUUAAAGCAGGCUCGCGCUUGAAUACAUUAGCAUGGAAUAAUGAAAUAGGACGUUUGAUUCUAUUUUGUUGGUUUCUAGGAUCGACGUAAUGAUUAAUAGGGAUAGUUGGGGGCAUUAGUAUUCAAUUGUCAGAGGUGAAAUUCUUGGAUUUAUUGAAGACUAACUACUGCGAAAGCAUUUGCCAAGGAUGUUUUCAUUAAUCAAGAACGAAAGUUAGGGGAUCGAAGACGAUCAGAUACCGUCGUAGUCUUAACCAUAAACUAUGCCGACUAGGGAUCGGAUGAUGUUAAUUUUUUAAUGACUCAUUCGGCGCCUUACG